This 1066-nucleotide ribosomal RNA is filed under the name Nocardia sp. YIM 75780. RNAcentral's name for it is "bacterial SSU rRNA". It matches the Rfam family "Bacterial small subunit ribosomal RNA", at positions 34 to 1124 of the family's 1533-position model. Lineage: Bacteria; Bacillati; Actinomycetota; Actinomycetes; Mycobacteriales; Nocardiaceae. The record is from RNAcentral.
UGCUGGCGGUGCUUACCAUGCAGUCGAGCGGUAAGGCCCUUCGGGGUACACGAGCGGCGAACGGGUGAGUAACACGUGGGUGAUCUGCCUCGUACUUCGGGAUAAGCCUGGGAAACUGGGUCUAAUACCGGAUAUGACCUUCGGAUGCAUGUCUGAGGGUGGAAAGAUUUAUCGGUACGAGAUGGGCCCGCGGCCUAUCAGCUUGUUGGUGGGGUAAUGGCCUACCAAGGCGACGACGGGUAGCCGGCCUGAGAGGGCGACCGGCCACACUGGGACUGAGACACGGCCCAGACUCCUACGGGAGGCAGCAGUGGGGAAUAUUGCACAAUGGGCGAAAGCCUGAUGCAGCGACGCCGCGUGAGGGAUGACGGCCUUCGGGUUGUAAACCUCUUUCGACAGGGACGAAGCGCAAGUGACGGUACCUGUAGAAGAAGCACCGGCCAACUACGUGCCAGCAGCCGCGGUAAUACGUAGGGUGCGAGCGUUGUCCGGAAUUACUGGGCGUAAAGAGCUUGUAGGCGGUUCGUCGCGUCGUUCGUGAAAACUUGGGGCUCAACCCCAAGCUUGCGGGCGAUACGGGCGGACUAGAGUACUUCAGGGGAGACUGGAAUUCCUGGUGUAGCGGUGAAAUGCCCAGAUAUCAGGAGGAACACCGGUGGCGAAGGCGGGUCUCUGGGAACUAACUGACGCUGAGAAGCGAAAGCGUGGGUAGCGAACAGGAUUAGAUACCCUGGUAGUCCACGCCGUAAACGGUGGGGUACUAGGUGUGGGUUUCCUUCCACGGGAUCCGUGCCGUAGCUAACGCAUUAAGUACCCCGCCUGGGGAGUACGGCCGCAAGGCUAAAACUCAAAGGAAUUGACGUGGGGCCCGCACAAGCGGCGGAGCAUGUGGAUUAAUUCGAUGCAACGCGAAGAACCUUACCUGGGUUUGACAUACACCGGAAACCUGCAGAGAUGUAGCCCCCUGUGUUCGGUGUACAGGUGAUGCAUGGCUGUCGUCAGCUCUGUCGUGAGAUGUUGGGUAAGUCCCGCAACGAGCGCAACCCUUACUUAUGGUGCAGCGCGG